RNAcentral lists this long non-coding RNA (306 nucleotides) under Malus domestica (apple). Its description in RNAcentral is "long non-coding RNA (MDOM_LNC010291)". The record is from RNAcentral. Lineage: Eukaryota; Viridiplantae; Streptophyta; Magnoliopsida; Rosales; Rosaceae.
AUCCGCUAAGGUUAGUAUGUGUUAUGUUGACUCAAGCGUGAGUAUGACUAGUCUCAAGUCAUUUAGUGUUGUACACUAAGACAAACACAUAGGUGCUCGAAAGAGUAAUCGAGUACACUAAACAACGAUCAAAAGAGAGUUCGAACAUACAUGUCAUGUAUGAACUCUAAAGUUGCAAUAUGCAAAGUAGUCCUUUGACCUGAGGCAUCAUAGAUGUCUAAUGGUUAGGUCCUUGAUCUUUGAUUAUGUCAACGGCAUUCCAUCGGAGUGUCCACGGCAUUGUUGGGGUCAAGCUAUCUAGUCGUG